RNAcentral lists this ribosomal RNA (469 nucleotides) under uncultured bacterium. Its description in RNAcentral is "bacterial SSU rRNA". It matches the Rfam family "Bacterial small subunit ribosomal RNA", at positions 31 to 498 of the family's 1533-position model. The record is from RNAcentral.
GUAGAACGCUGGCGGCAUGCCUAACACAUGCAAGUUGAACGAGAAGUUCUGGAACAAGUCUUCGGACAAGGGAAGGAACAGAAAGUAGCGAACGGGUGAGUAACGCGUGGGCAACCAACCUUACACAGGGGGAUAACGCAGAGAAAUUUGCGCUAAUACCGCAUAAGCGCACAGGAUCACAUGAUCCGGUGUGAAAAACUCCGGUGGUGUAAGACGGGCCCGCGUCUGAUUAGCUAGUUGGUGAGGUAAAGGCUCACCAAGGCGACGAUCAGUAGCCGACCUGAGAGGGUGAUCGGCCACAUUGGGACUGAGACACGGCCCAAACUCCUACGGGAGGCAGCAGUGGGGGAUAUUGCACAAUGGAGGGAACUCUGAUGCAGCAAUGCCGCGUGAAGGAAGAAGGUUUUCGGAUUGUAAACUUCUAUCAGCAGGGAAGAAAAUGACGGUACCUGACUAAGAAGCCCCGGCU